RNAcentral lists this long non-coding RNA (2328 nucleotides) under Mus caroli (Ryukyu mouse). Its description in RNAcentral is "RIKEN cDNA A330074K22 gene (MGP_CAROLIEiJ_G0006722.1)". The record is from RNAcentral. Lineage: Eukaryota; Metazoa; Chordata; Mammalia; Rodentia; Muridae.
CUCUCCUCUCGAUUCCUCCUCCACCCCCUCCUCCUCUCUCCCCACCCUCUCCUACCCCCUCACCCCCCUGUGUCCCAAACUAUGGCACAAUAGGCCCCAGCUCCUCUGUCUAUUCUGUGUCCAGCAGGAGCCCGCGGUGAUUCAUUGCUCCAAUUAGGGGCUCUGCAGCCCGUGGCUCAGGCUGUCUGAAGGGUCUCCUUUGGGACCUAAGAAACCCAUCAGCCGCUGCCGCUGAUCUUUAAGGAAAGGUCAAGCCGGACGCGCUAGUGCCAGAAUCAUCAGACCAUCUGGCAGGAUGGCACUUUCCAUUAUUCCAGCACCCUGGAGAUGCACGGGAAGUUCAAGACCAGCCUGGGCUGCUUCGUGAAACUGUCUCAAAAAGUGAGAACACAGCAGGGAUCAGGAUCCCUCUCUACGCGUUCCAGACUGGCUUACUGGCCUGGAACUCGCUGUGUAACCCAUGCUGGCCUUGAACUCACGACAGCCUCUUCCUUCAGCUUCCUGACUUAACAAAUGUAAACCACCACGUCUAGCAUGGACUCCCUUGUUACAGUGACACCAGGAAACUCAUUUAAUGCCUUGCAGUGGCCUGGCCCUACUGCUGAACAGAGUCCCAACUAUCCCACCCCCGGGUUGGCUCAGCAUGGCCCUACUCAGCCCCAGCACUGAGUCCUGAAGGAGGAUUUGGCCGCCCCCAGCCCAGUGAGUCAGCCUCUUGGGUAGUCACCAUUUCUGCGGAGCCUCACCACACUUGCACGCCUCCAGUCAGACUGCAGUUUCCUCAAAGGCCGGAAGCUCCAUUCAGGCGUCUUUGCUGUACCCAGCCCCUGUGGUGAAGGAGCCCAAGGCCAGCUAAAGCACUGUGCAGUGCACUUCACACCAGCCUGUCCUUGUCCCCUAUCCCUGCAGAGCUCUGCCCCAGCCACCCCCUCAGCCCCGUGCGUCAUCAUGACCUGACAUCACCACCUGACACCGGUGAGAGGCACUCCACCAAUUGGGCACGCAAAGACAGCUGGGUAAAGGCACUCUGGCUUCUAGCUCAGUCCCACCUGGCCAGCUGAGAGACCUUUUCCAGCUGAGGGAAUCCCUGGGCCUUCCAACUUUCCAGUACAGAACCUGACUCAAAGAACAGUAAGUCCAAUUAAGACAUCCUAUCUGUGGCCUGCCACAGGUUAGCCCAGUAAAUUUCCAUCUCAUUCCCCUUGGUGAUCUCAGAGCCACCAAAGUGUCCCCUGGACCUGUGGGCCAGGAGGGAGGUGGCUAUGUUUUAGAAACUUCCCCCCAGACAAUAGCAGGCUGAUCUGGAAACACCCGUCUACCUUCGCCAAGGUGGGGCUAGCUGCGUGCCACCGGCUUUGGGGAGGUACAGCCACUUGUUAGUCAGGUAACCAAUCCGUGGGACCAAUCCUCUGCUCAGGGUCAUAUCCCUGUCUCAGACUGGCCCAUACUGCUUGGGUCCACUGUGACCAAUAGCAGGGGGUCAAGGCCAUGAGCAUCUCACAAGUGGCAGAGACCUUGAACCCACCAGCCAUUGUCACAGUGCUCCCAGGGAUGUGUCGAGGGGGGCGGGGCAGGAGGGCAGGGCUGUGGUGUGUACCGAGAAAAUGUGCUCCCAGUGCUGGGACACACAGAAGAACCCAAAGGCCUCCUGUACCCUUAGAACAGACCUCAGGCCUGACUCCUGCCCUAGCCAAGUCCCCACCCCCACCCCUGGGGCCCUCUGAGGCUUUCCCAUGGAAUCUCUGGGUGGCUUUGGAUUCAGGCCACAAGGAACAAGUAUCGGAAGCUCAGUAACAGGAAAUGCUCUGUGGCCUUGGAUGGCUUUCCAGGCUGUGGCCUUCAGCCGGCUGUGCUCUGGGUAUUGCAGCCAUUGAAGCCUUCAAUGGGAUGGGAGCGGGAAGGGCCUUGGUCCCCAGGGCUGACAGUGACUCUUUUUCCCUCCUUGGCUGGCUGCCCCUAAACACCCUGGGCAGAGCCCAUUUAUCUAGAGGCUCUGGGUGGACACAGCAUCUUCAAAUCCUGUUUUGGGCCAUGAAUGUCCAGGCUUCAGCUAAAGGAGAGAGAGAGAGAGAGAGAGAGAGAGAGAGAGAGACUUGACCAUCCCAGGAGAGGUGGGGGUAGAGUGGGGGGAGUGGAGGGACCCUUUUGGCAGCUCUCUCCUCUUGCCAUGUCCUUAGUACAAGGAGUGGUGGCCCAGAGCCAUGAGGAGGGUACAACAGGAGGCUCAGGUGAAGAGUCACAGCUGGAUCGGGCUGUAGCUCUGCUCACAUUUUCUGUGCUGGCUCCAAAUGCAGAGGAACCCACUGGCAGAGGAGAUAGCAACCCACC